RNAcentral lists this ribosomal RNA (301 nucleotides) under uncultured bacterium. Its description in RNAcentral is "partial 16S ribosomal RNA". It matches the Rfam family "Bacterial small subunit ribosomal RNA", at positions 509 to 807 of the family's 1533-position model. The record is from RNAcentral.
CAGUCGCCGCGGUAAUGCGUAGGGUGCAAGCGUUAAUCGGAAUUACUGGGCGUAAAGCGUGCGCAGGCGGUUCGCUAAGACAGAUGUGAAAUCCCCGGGCUUAACCUGGGAACUGCGCUUGUGACUGCACAUCUAGAGUAUGGCAGAGGGGGGUGGAAUUCCACGUGUAGCAGUGAAAUGCGUAGAGAUGUGGAGGAACACCGAUGGCGAAGGCAGCCUCCUGGGCCAAUACUGACGCUCAUGCACGAAAGCGUGGGGAGCAAACAGGAUUAGAUACCCGCGUAGUCCCUGUCUCUUAUAC